Molecule: ribosomal RNA, 492 nt
Filed under: uncultured bacterium
Lineage: Bacteria
Description: partial 16S ribosomal RNA
Rfam family: Bacterial small subunit ribosomal RNA
Source: RNAcentral
AGUGAACGCUGGCGGUAGGCCUAACACAUGCAAGUCGAACGGCAGCACAGUAAGAGCUUGCUCUUACGGGUGGCGAGUGGCGGACGGGUGAGGAAUACAUCGGAAUCUACUUUUUCGUGGGGGAUAACGUAGGGAAACUUACGCUAAUACCGCAUACGACCUACGGGUGAAAGCAGGGGAUCUUCGGACCUUGCGCGAUUGAAUGAGCCGAUAUCGGAUUAGCUAGUUGGCGGGGUAAAGGCCCACCAAGGCGACGAUCCGUAGCUGGUCUGAGAGGAUGAUCAGCCACACUGGAACUGAGACACGGUCCAGACUCCUACGGGAGGCAGCAGUGGGGAAUAUGGGACAAUGGGCGCAAGCCUAAUCCAGCCAUACCGCGUGGGUGAAGAAGGCCUUCGGGUUGUAAAGCCCUUUUGUUGGGAAAGAAAAGCAGCAGGUUAAUACCCCGCUGUUCUGACGGUACCCAAAGAAUAAGCACCGGCUAACUUCGUG